GACAGAGGUGCCAAGCGUUGUUCGGAUUCAUUGGGCGUAAAGGGUGUGUAGGUGGCGCCGUAAGUCGGGUGUGAAAUUUCGGAGCUUAACUCCGAAACUGCAUUCGAUACUGCGGUGCUUGAGGACUGGAGAGGAGACUGGAAUUCAUGGUGUAGCAGUGAAAUGCGUAGAGAUCAUGAGGAAGACCAGUGGCGAAGGCGGGUCUCUGGACAGUUCCUGACACUGAGACACGAAGGCCAGGGGAGCAAACGGG
Molecule: ribosomal RNA, 253 nt
Filed under: uncultured bacterium
Lineage: Bacteria
Description: partial 16S ribosomal RNA
Rfam family: Bacterial small subunit ribosomal RNA
Source: RNAcentral